GACGAACGCUGGUGGCGUGCCUAAUACAUGCAAGUAGAACGCUGAAGAGAGGAGCUUGCUCUUCUUGGAUGAGUUGCGAACGGGUGAGUAACGCGUAGGUAACCUGCCUUGUAGCGGGGGAUAACUAUUGGAAACGAUAGCUAAUACCGCAUAACAAUGGAUGACACAUGUCAUUUAUUUGAAAGGGGCAAUUGCUCCACUACAAGAUGGACCUGCGUUGUAUUAGCUAGUAGGUGAGGUAAUGGCUCACCUAGGCGACGAUACAUAGCCGACCUGAGAGGGUGAUCGGCCACACUGGGACUGAGACACGGCCCAGACUCCUACGGGAGGCAGCAGUAGGGAAUCUUCGGCAAUGGGGGCAACCCUGACCGAGCAACGCCGCGUGAGUGAAGAAGGUUUUCGGAUCGUAAAGCUCUGUUGUAAGUCAAGAACGGGUGUGAGAGUGGAAAGUUCACACUGUGACGGUAGCUUACCAGAAAGGGACGGCUAACUACGUGCCAGCAGCCGCGGUAAUACGUAGGUCCCGAGCGUUGUCCGGAUUUAUUGGGCGUAAAGCGAGCGCAGGCGGUUUGAUAAGUCUGAAGUUAAAGGCUGUGGCUCAACCAUAGUUCGCUUUGGAAACUGUCAAACUUGAGUGCAGAAGGGGAGAGUGGAAUUCCAUGUGUAGCGGUGAAAUGCGUAGAUAUAUGGAGGAACACCGGUGGCGAAAGCGGCUCUCUGGUCUGUAACUGACGCUGAGGCUCGAAAGCGUGGGGAGCGAACAGGAUUAGAUACCCUGGUAGUCCACGCCGUAAACGAUGAGUGCUAGGUGUUGGAUCCUUUCCGGGAUUCAGUGCCGCAGCUAACGCAUUAAGCACUCCGCCUGGGGGGUACGACCGCAAGGUUGAAACUCAAAGGAAUUGACGGGGGCCCGCACAAGCGGUGGAGCAUGUGGUUUAAUUCGAAGCAACGCGAAGAACCUUAUCAGGUCUUGACAUCCCGAUGCUAUUUCUAGAGAUAGAAAGUUACUUCGGUACAUCGGUGACAGGUGGUGCAUGGUUGUCGUCAGCUCGUGUCGUGAGAUGUUGGGUUAAGUCCCGCAACGAGCGCAACCCCUAUUGUUAGUUGCCAUCAUUCAGUUGGGCACUCUAGCGAGACUGCCGGUAAUAAACCGGAGGAAGGUGGGGAUGACGUCAAAUCAUCAUGCCCCUUAUGACCUGGGCUACACACGUGCUACAAUGGUUGGUACAACGAGUUGCGAGUCGGUGACGGCGAGCUAAUCUCUUAAAGCCAAUCUCAGUUCGGAUUGUAAGCUGCAACUCGCCUACAUGAAGUCGGAAUCGCUAGUAAUCGCGGAUCAGCACGCCGCGGUGAAUACGUUCCCGGGCCU
This 1369-nucleotide ribosomal RNA is filed under the name uncultured bacterium. RNAcentral's name for it is "bacterial SSU rRNA". It matches the Rfam family "Bacterial small subunit ribosomal RNA", at positions 28 to 1381 of the family's 1533-position model. The record is from RNAcentral.